AGCUGGAUUCGCUAGUAAUCGCGCAUCAGCCACGGCGCGGUGAAUACGUUCCCGGGCCUUGUACACACCGCCCGUCAAGCCAUGGGAGCCGGGGGUACCUGAAGUACGUAACCGCAAGGAGCGUCCUAGGGUAAAACUGGUGACUGGGGCUAAGUCGUAACAAGGUACC
Molecule: ribosomal RNA, 169 nt
Filed under: uncultured bacterium
Lineage: Bacteria
Description: partial 16S ribosomal RNA
Rfam family: Bacterial small subunit ribosomal RNA
Source: RNAcentral